UUCGGGUUGUAAAGCACUUUCAGUGGGGAGGAAGGUAGUGUAGUUAACACCUGCACUAUUUGACGUUACCUACAGAAGAAGCACCGGCUAACUCCGUGCCAGCAGCCGCGGUAAUACGGAGGGUGCGAGCGUUAAUCGGGAAUUACUGGGCGUAAAGCGCAUGCAGGCGGCCUGUUAAGUCAGAUGUGAAAGCCCGGGGCUUAACCCUCGGAAUUGCAUUUGAAACUGGCAGGCUAGAGUCUUGUAGAGGGGGUAGAAUUUCAGGUGUAGCGGUGAAAUGCGUAGAGAUCUGAAGGAAUACCAGUGGCGAAGGCGGCCCCCUGGACAAAGACUGACGCUCAGAUGCGAAAGCGUGGGGACGCAAACAGGAUUAGAUACCCUGGUAG
This 386-nucleotide ribosomal RNA is filed under the name uncultured bacterium. RNAcentral's name for it is "bacterial SSU rRNA". It matches the Rfam family "Bacterial small subunit ribosomal RNA", at positions 417 to 793 of the family's 1533-position model. The record is from RNAcentral.